AUUGAACGCUGGCGGCAUGCUUUACACAUGCAAGUCGAACGGUAACAGGGAGCUUGCUCCGCUGACGAGUGGCGAACGGGUGAGUAAUGCAUCGGAACAUCGCCCAGUCAGUGGGGGAUAACUACGACGAAAGCGUAGCUAAUACCGCAUACGCCUGAGGGGGAAAGUGGGGGAUCUUAGGACCUCACGUGAUUGGAGUGGCCGAUGUCAGAUUAGCUAGUUGGUGAGGUAAAGGCUCACCAAGGCGACGAUCUGUAGCGGGUCUGAGAGGAUGAUCCGCCACACUGGGACUGAGACACGGCCCAGACUCCUACGGGAGGCAGCAGUGGGGAAUUUUGGACAAUGGGCGCAAGCCUGAUCCAGCCAUGCCGCGUGAGUGAAGAAGGCCUUCGGGUUGUAAAGCUCUUUCGCAAGGGAAGAAAACGGCAAGGUUAAUACCUUUGUCGGCUGACGGUACCUUGACAAGAAGCACCGGCUAACUACGUG
RNAcentral lists this ribosomal RNA (486 nucleotides) under uncultured bacterium. RNAcentral's name for it is "bacterial SSU rRNA". It matches the Rfam family "Bacterial small subunit ribosomal RNA", at positions 30 to 507 of the family's 1533-position model. The record is from RNAcentral.